AGGAUCAACGCUGGCGGCGUGCAUGAGACAUGCAAGUCAAACGGACGAUCAAAGCUUGCUUUGUUCGUUAGUGGCGGACGGCUGAGUAACGCGUGGGUGACCUGCCCCGAAGUGGGGAAUAACUGCCCGAAAGGGUGGCUAAUACCGCAUGUGGUGGUGCGUUCAAUCGCACCAGUAAAGCCGCAAGGCGCUUCGGGAGGGGCCUGCGUCCGAUUAGCUCGUUGGUGGGGUAACGGCUUACCAAGGCGACGAUCGGUAGGUGGUCUGAGAGGACGAUCACCCAGACUGGGACUGAGACACGGCCCAGACUCCUACGGGAGGCAGCAGUCGGGAAUUUUGCGCAAUGGACGAAAGUCUGACGCAGCAACGCCGCGUGGGGGAUGAAGGCCUUCGGGUUGUAAACCCUUUCUCAGGGACGAUAAUGACGGUACCUGAGGAAUAAGCCACGGCUAACUACGUGCCAGCAGCCGC
This 471-nucleotide ribosomal RNA is filed under the name uncultured bacterium. RNAcentral describes it as "SSU rRNA". It matches the Rfam family "Bacterial small subunit ribosomal RNA", at positions 26 to 518 of the family's 1533-position model. The record is from RNAcentral.